AUUGAACGCUGGCGGCAGGCCUAACACAUGCAAGUCGAGCGGAUGAAGGGAGCUUGCUCCUGGAUUCAGCGGCGGACGGGUGAGUAAUGCCUAGGAAUCUGCCUGGUAGUGGGGGAUAACGUCCGGAAACGGGCGCUAAUACCGCAUACGUCCUGAGGGAGAAAGUGGGGGAUCUUCGGACCUCACGCUAUCAGAUGAGCCUAGGUCGGAUUAGCUAGUUGGUGGGGUAAAGGCCUACCAAGGCGACGAUCCGUAACUGGUCUGAGAGGAUGAACAGUCACACUGGAACGGAGACACGGUCCAGACUCCUACGGGAGGCAGCAGUGGGGAAUAUUGGACAAUGGGCGAAAGCCUGAUCCAGCCAUGCCGGGUGUGUGAAGAAGGUCUUCGGAUUGUAAAGCACUUUAAGUUGGGAGGAAGGGCAGUAAGUUAAUACCUUGCUGUUUUGACGUUACCAACAGAAUAAGCACCGGCUAACUUCGUG
Molecule: ribosomal RNA, 484 nt
Filed under: uncultured bacterium
Lineage: Bacteria
Description: partial 16S ribosomal RNA
Rfam family: Bacterial small subunit ribosomal RNA
Source: RNAcentral